CAUUAUACCAAAGAUAUAUGUAUGUAUGUGUAUGUGUGUGUGUGUGUAUAUAUAUAUACACACACACAUACACAUAUAUUAAUUAAUUACCAUAUA
RNAcentral lists this microRNA precursor (96 nucleotides) under Myotis lucifugus (little brown bat). Its description in RNAcentral is "miRNA (ENSMLUG00000024370.1)". Lineage: Eukaryota; Metazoa; Chordata; Mammalia; Chiroptera; Vespertilionidae. The record is from RNAcentral.